Molecule: long non-coding RNA, 668 nt
Organism: Acromyrmex echinatior (Panamanian leafcutter ant)
Lineage: Eukaryota; Metazoa; Arthropoda; Insecta; Hymenoptera; Formicidae
Source: RefSeq, a predicted model, not a curated record
UUUUAAAAUUUAGCUGUUUGACUAUUUUUUUGAAGUGCCAUCUAAUUUUUCUUUUUUUCGAAAGUUGGUAGUAUUGUACGGAGAGUCAGUUGAAAUAAUUUCAGUUGAUCAGAAUUGAUUGGAAUUGCCGGUUAAAUUUUUCAGUUAUUUCGUCCGGUCAUUGUUAGUAUUCGGUGAGGACUGAGAAGUUUCGACGAGCGUGAAUUACUCUUGGCUUGGAUACGAAAAAAUAAAGUUUAUAGAUACUCAAGAUUAAGAGAUCUGUUAUAUCGGUGGUAUAGAGGGACACGUACAUAUGUAAAGAAGAAGGGCUACGUUCCUUGUUAUUCACCGAAUAUUAAACAAAGAUAAAUGAUGCAUCAUGCGCAUCAUGCGUGAAACGGAACGCAGUCCUGUUUAUGUAUGAUAUACGUCAUAUAUCCUGAAAAUCAAAAACAAUAUUUAUAUGCGAUAAAAUAUAACGAGCUGAAAUACAAAGGUAACGCGACUCCGUAACUAAUUAUAAAUUCUAUCUCGUAUUUCGUUACAACGAUGAACAUUACACAUUAGAGGCGAUAUAUUACGAUUUAAUUACAAUUCAGGUACGAACACUGACCUCUUAUAACAUCUCCUAAUGAUAUACAUAUUACGGCAUAUAGUAUAAUGUUCAAUUGAAAUUUAUCUUUCUA